AACGAACGCUGGCGGCAUGCCUAACACAUGCAAGUCGAACGAGAUCUUCGGGUCUAGUGGCGCACGGGUGCGUAACGCGUGGGAAUCUGCCCUUUGGUUCGGAAUAACAGUUGGAAACGACUGCUAAUACCGGAUGAUGACGAAAGUCCAAAGAUUUAUCGCCAGAGAAUGAGCCCGCGUAGGAUUAGCUAGUUGGUGUGGUAAAGGCGCACCAAGGCGACGAUCCUUAGCUGGUCUGAGAGGAUGAUCAGCCACACUGGGACUGAGACACGGGCCAGAGUCCUAGGGGAGGCAGCAAGGAGGAAUAUUGGGAAAUGGGAGAAGGGCUGAUACAACAAGGCCGCGUGAGUGGUGAAGGCCUAAGGGUUGGAAAGCUCAUGUGACCGGGAUGAUAAUGACGGUGCCGGGAGAAUAAGCGCCGGCUAACUCCGUGCCAGCCGCCGCCGUAA
This 449-nucleotide ribosomal RNA is filed under the name uncultured bacterium. RNAcentral describes it as "partial 16S ribosomal RNA". It matches the Rfam family "Bacterial small subunit ribosomal RNA", at positions 29 to 523 of the family's 1533-position model. The record is from RNAcentral.